GUUGGCUACGGGGACAUCUACCCCACUACUGCACUGGGAAAAGUUAUUGGUACUGUGUGUUGCAUAUGCGGUGUUCUGGUAAUCGCUUUGCCUAUUCCCAUCAUCGUCAAUAAU
Molecule: non-coding RNA, 114 nt
Organism: Glossina pallidipes
Lineage: Eukaryota; Metazoa; Arthropoda; Insecta; Diptera; Glossinidae
Source: Rfam